AUUGAACGCUGGCGGCAGGCCUAACACAUGCAAGUCGAACGGUAACAGGAAGAAGCUUGCUUCUUUGCUGACGAGUGGCGGACGGGUGAGUAAUGUCUGGGAAACUGCCUGAUGGAGGGGGAUAACUACUGGAAACGGUAGCUAAUACCGCAUAACGUCGCAAGACCAAAGAGGGGGACCUUCGGGCCUCUUGCCAUCGGAUGUGCCCAGAUGGGAUUAGCUAGUAGGUGGGGUAACGGCUCACCUAGGCGACGAUCCCUAGCUGGUCUGAGAGGAUGACCAGCAACACUGGAACUGAGACACGGUCCAGACUCCUACGGGAGGCAGCAGUGGGGAAUAUUGCACAAUGGGCGCAAGCCUGAUGCAGCCAUGCCGCGUGUAUGAAGAAGGCCUUCGGGUUGUAAAGUACUUUCAGCGGGGAGGAGGGGAGUAAAGUUAAUACCUUUGCUCAUUGACGUUACCCGCAGAAGAAGCACCGGCUAACUCCGUG
This 490-nucleotide ribosomal RNA is filed under the name uncultured bacterium. Its description in RNAcentral is "partial 16S ribosomal RNA". It matches the Rfam family "Bacterial small subunit ribosomal RNA", at positions 30 to 507 of the family's 1533-position model. The record is from RNAcentral.